This 588-nucleotide ribosomal RNA is filed under the name Bacillus sp. ICS11205. RNAcentral's name for it is "bacterial SSU rRNA". It matches the Rfam family "Bacterial small subunit ribosomal RNA", at positions 338 to 916 of the family's 1533-position model. The record is from RNAcentral. Lineage: Bacteria; Bacillati; Bacillota; Bacilli; Caryophanales; Bacillaceae.
CCUACGGGAGGCAGCAGUAGGGAAUCUUCCGCAAUGGACGAAAGUCUGACGGAGCAACGCCGCGUGAGUGAUGAAGGUUUUCGGAUCGUAAAGCUCUGUUGUUAGGGAAGAACAAGUGCCGUUCGAAUAGGGCGGCACCUUGACGGUACCUAACCAGAAAGCCCCGGCUAACUACGUGCCAGCAGCCGCGGUAAUACGUAGGGGGCAAGCGUUGUCCGGAAUUAUUGGGCGUAAAGCGCGCGCAGGCGGUCCUUUAAGUCUGAUGUGAAAGCCCACGGCUUAACCGUGGAGGGUCAUUGGAAACUGGAGGACUUGAGUACAGAAGAGGAGAGUGGAAUUCCACGUGUAGCGGUGAAAUGCGUAGAGAUGUGGAGGAACACCAGUGGCGAAGGCGACUCUCUGGUCUGUAACUGACGCUGAGGCGCGAAAGCGUGGGGAGCGAACAGGAUUAGAUACCCUGGUAGUCCACGCCGUAAACGAUGAGUGCUAGGUGUUAGGGGGUUUCCGCCCCUUAGUGCUGAAGUUAACGCAUUAAGCACUCCGCCUGGGGAGUACGGCCGCAAGGCUGAAACUCAAAUGAAUUGACGG